CAGCAGCCGCGGGAAUACGUAGGUGGCAAGCGUUGUCCGGAAUUAUUGGGUGUAAAGGGCUCGCAGGCGGUUUCUUAAGUCUGAUGUGAAAGCCCCCGGCUCAACCGGGGAGGGUCAUUGGAAACUGGGAAACUUGAGUGCAGAAGAGGAGAGUGGAAUUCCACGUGUAGCGGUGAAAUGCGUAGAGAUGUGGAGGAACACCAGUGGCGAAGGCGACUCUCUGGUCUGUAACUGACGCUGAGGAGCGAAAGCGUGGGGAGCGAACAGGAUUAGAUACCCGGGUAGUCCCUGUCUCUUAUAC
RNAcentral lists this ribosomal RNA (301 nucleotides) under uncultured bacterium. RNAcentral's name for it is "partial 16S ribosomal RNA". It matches the Rfam family "Bacterial small subunit ribosomal RNA", at positions 509 to 807 of the family's 1533-position model. The record is from RNAcentral.